This is a long non-coding RNA of Juglans microcarpa x Juglans regia, 540 nucleotides long. RefSeq lists it as uncharacterized. The transcript is spliced from 2 exons. The record is from RefSeq and is a predicted model, not a curated record. Lineage: Eukaryota; Viridiplantae; Streptophyta; Magnoliopsida; Fagales; Juglandaceae.
UAUACCCCAAUUUUUUUUUCUUGGAGUGAUAAAAAUCCAGGGCAAGAGAACAGAGGGAGUCUGGUUGGAGUCGCAGGUGGGCUGAGUUGAGUGACUGGUUGGCAGGAGCAUGUAGUUUAGAGUGAAGCACAGUAGAAGUAGUACGUAAAUUUCAGAGCAUUUCGGCCACUAAAGAGACAGUACAGCCGCCCACCGGGUCCUACACUCAGGCAGAUAGCAGACCCAUCUCCCUCUCCUCUCCACAUCUCCAUCAGUACCCUUUGGAAUCCAUUUUCCAUCUUUGGAGUUUGGACUACGCCUCUCUGCUUUGCCAAACCAAACCAGCCCAAAAAAAAUAAAAAGCUGUCGACACCACCAAAGUACGGCUACUAUUUCGUCCUCUUGGGUCUCAAUUGCAAAACUGAACGCUUUCUUUAGAGCCAAUCGAGUUCUAUGUCCUUUGUAUAUUACUGUUGGAUCUUUUGAGAAGAAGGAUAUUAUCGGAUGGACAUGCUACAGCUAUGCUGUUUGAAUUCCACUUGCUCAGAGGAGAAAUUUUUU